UAGGGAAUCUUCCGCAAUGGGCGAAAGGCUGCCGGAGCAACGCCGCGUUAGUGAUGAAGGUCUUCGGAUCGUAAAACUCUGUUAUUAGGGAAAAACAAAUGUGUAAGUAACUAUGCACGUCUUGACGGUACCUAAUCAGAAAGCCACGGCUAACUACGUGCCAGCAGCCGCGGUAAUACGUAGGUGGCAAGCGUUAUCCGGAAUUAUUGGGCGUAAAGCGCGCGUAGGCGGUUUUUUACGUCUGAUGUGAAAGCCCACGGCGCAACCGUGGGGGAUCAGUGGAAACUGGAAAACUUGAGUGCAGAAGAGGAAAGUGGAAUUCCAUGUGUAGCGGUGAAAUGCGGAGAGAUAUGGAGGAACACCAGUGGCGAAGGCGACUUUCUGGUCUGUAACUGACGAUGAUGUGCGAAAGAGUGGGGAUCAAACAGG
RNAcentral lists this ribosomal RNA (429 nucleotides) under Actinomycetes bacterium. Its description in RNAcentral is "Actinobacteria bacterium partial 16S ribosomal RNA". It matches the Rfam family "Bacterial small subunit ribosomal RNA", at positions 355 to 776 of the family's 1533-position model. Lineage: Bacteria; Bacillati; Actinomycetota; Actinomycetes. The record is from RNAcentral.